This 429-nucleotide ribosomal RNA is filed under the name Pseudomonadota bacterium. RNAcentral describes it as "Proteobacteria bacterium partial 16S ribosomal RNA". It matches the Rfam family "Bacterial small subunit ribosomal RNA", at positions 355 to 776 of the family's 1533-position model. The record is from RNAcentral. Lineage: Bacteria; Pseudomonadati; Pseudomonadota.
UGGGGAAUAUUGGACAAUGGGCGAAAGCCUGAUCCAGCCAUGCCGCGUGUGUGAAGAAGGUCUUCGGAUUGUAAAGCACUUUAAGUUGGGAGGAAGGGCAGUAAGCGAAUACCUUGCUGUUUUGACGUUACCGACAGAAUAAGCACCGGCUAACUCUGUGCCAGCAGCCGCGGUAAUACAGAGGGUGCGAGCGUUAAUCGGAUUUACUGGGCGUAAAGCGUGCGUAGGCGGCUAAUUGAGUCGGAUGUGAAAUCCCCGAGCUUAACUUGGGAAUUGCAUUAGAUACUGGUUAGCUAGAGUGUGGGAGAGGAUGGUAGAAUUCCAGGUGUAGCGGUGAAAUGCGUAGAGAUCUGGAGGAAUACCGAUGGCGAAGGCAGCCAUCUGGCCUAACACUGACGCUGAGGUACGAAAGCAUGGGGAGCAAACAGG